Molecule: non-coding RNA, 164 nt
Organism: Paramuricea clavata
Lineage: Eukaryota; Metazoa; Cnidaria; Anthozoa; Malacalcyonacea; Plexauridae
Source: the annotation of a GenBank genome assembly
UUUGGCCAUUGGCAGCCCGCUAUUUCGAGCCCUGAUAUAUAUAUAUAUAUAUAUAUAUAUAUAUAUAUAUAUAUAUAUAUAUAUAUAUAUAUAUAUAUAUAUAUAUAUAUAUAUAUAUAUAUAUAUAUAUCAGGGCUCGAAAUAGCGGGCUGCCAAUGGCCAAA